Molecule: non-coding RNA, 1607 nt
Organism: Oryctolagus cuniculus (rabbit)
Lineage: Eukaryota; Metazoa; Chordata; Mammalia; Lagomorpha; Leporidae
Source: RefSeq, a predicted model, not a curated record
CUUUCCCAACCCCCAGGCUCCAGAAGACCGAACGCUCUCCAAACAGCCUGCACUUUCACGUCACCGGAUCUCCCAUUUCUCAUCUCUGCCUGCAAGAACCAUUUUCGAAGAUAAGAAAGCCAAAAUUCAGAGAAGUGAAUUGUUCAAGAUCACACAUCAAGUAUUGGAGGGUUACAUGUUAAAGGAGUUUACAACAGGAUCCAAGGAGCUGAUACAAAUCACAGAAAGGUCAAGACUGUCAACCUAGAGCCAGUAAUCCUUUUAAUGGAUGCUAAUUGAGGGAAAGGAGUUAUUGGGGAAAACUCAGCAGGCCAGAGGGAAGAGAUGAGGAAGGAAAAAGAGAAGGAGAGUGUAACAGAGAGAAGGAAAGAGAGAGGAGAAGAGCUAGCAAGGAGAGAACAGAGGAGGCAAGAGAGAGAAGAGGAGACCAGAGAGAGCAGAGAGCGCAGAGAGUGCAGAGAGCAAAACUCCUAUAUUUUUCCUACUACUUCCAUCAUUUAAUUUUCUGAUGUUUAAAUAGAUGUUCUGCUUGGAAUUUAUUCUGAAGUAAAGAUGAAGAAAGAACGCAAUUCCGUCCCACUCCAGAUGAUUAUAAUAAAUUGUAAAACAUGAUUUAAUGUUUCAGCCCAACUCAUUUGAAAUACUGCUUUUUAUUCCCAUUUUUGAUCAAUAUCUUAACUCUCUGGUAUAUCCUAUUGAUCUAUCUUGUCAUUCUUGAUACCAAACCAAUUUAAUUUUCUGUAGAUUUAUAGUAUAUUUUAAUACCUAUAUUUCCUAGUACUUUAUGGUUAUACUUCUAUUUGUAUGUUUAUUUCCAUGCCACUCCAUUAUAAGCUUAUAAUAUUUUCUCCUCUAAUGUCUUUCCAGCUUAAUACAUAAUCAGUUUUUGUAAAUGUUACAUAAGUAAUUGAAACCAAGUUUACUUGCUGAUAAAGUUUCUAAAUAGCUUUCAGGUGAAGAAUGAUAAUUGUGUUGAUAAUUUCUUCUAUGCUGAUAUUAUAUGUUUAUGUUCUGAAAGAGUAAAUUCUGAAAGAGAAAUCUUAAAAUCUCUAAAUGUGAUGGUGGAUGUGUCAUAUUCUACCAGUUUUUCAAUUCUGUACAAUAUCACAUAAUACAAAAGAGCUUAUGAUUAUCUUGCUAUGGGUAGAUAUAAGUAACACAUCAGCAACUGUCCCUUUAAAAACAACUAAUUUUAGGCCAGCACUGUGGCAUGGAGAGUAAAGCAGCCGCCUGCAGUGCCGGCAUCCCAUAUGGAUGCCAGUUGAAGUCCAAGCUGCUCCACUUCUGAUCCAGCUCUCUGCCACGGCCUGGGAAAGCAGUAGAAGAUGGCCCAAGUUCUUCGUCUCCUGCAGCCAUGUGGGAGACCCGGAAGAAGCUCCUGGCUCCUGGCUUUAGAUAGGCACAGUUCCGUUGUGGCUAAUUGGGGAGUGAACCUGUGGAUAGAAGACCUCUCUCUCUCUCUCUCUCUCUCUCUCUGCCUCUGCCUCUGCCUCUCUCUAACUCUGACUUUCAAGUAAAAUAAAUAAUUCUUAAAAAAAAGGACUAACUUUUCUUGAAGUUUUUUUUUUUUUUUAAGAUUUUAUUUAUUUAUUUGAGAGGUAGGAGGC